Molecule: ribosomal RNA, 282 nt
Filed under: uncultured prokaryote
Description: partial 16S ribosomal RNA
Rfam family: Bacterial small subunit ribosomal RNA
Source: RNAcentral
UACGUAGGGGCUAGCGUUAUCCGGAAUUACUGGGCGUAAAGGGUGCGUAGGCGGUUUCUUAAGUCAGAGGUGAAAGGCUACGGCUCAACCGUAGUAAGCCUUUGAAACUGGGAAACUUGAGUGCAGGAGAGGAGAGUGGAAUUCCUAGUGUAGCGGUGAAAUGCGUAGAUAUUAGGAGGAACACCAGUUGCGAAGGCGGCUCUCUGGACUGUAACUGACACUGAGGCACGAAAGCGUGGGGAGCAAACAGGAUUAGAUACCCCGGUAGUCCCUGAGCGGGCU